CCCGCCGGCGACCGGCGCACGGGUGAGUAACGCGUAUGCAACUUACCUAUCAGAGGGGGAUAACCCGGCGAAAGUCGGACUAAUACCGCAUGAAGCAGGGGCCCCGCAUGGGGAUAUUUGCUAAAGAUUCAUCGCUGAUAGAUAGGCAUGCGUUCCAUUAGGCAGUUGGCGGGGUAACGGCCCACCAAACCGACGACGGAUAGGGGUUCUGAGAGGAAGGUCCCCCACAUUGGUACUGAGACACGGACCAAACUCCUACGGGAGGCAGCAG
Molecule: ribosomal RNA, 271 nt
Filed under: uncultured bacterium
Lineage: Bacteria
Description: partial 16S ribosomal RNA
Rfam family: Bacterial small subunit ribosomal RNA
Source: RNAcentral